AAGACUAUACUUUCAGGGAUCAUUUCUAGAGUUUCUACUUUGAAAAAUGUGUUUCUAAAGUGUUUCGUCUCGCUGCUCAUGAUGAUGACUCGUGAUAUUCCUUUCUGAGCGUGAAGCUGACAAAGCGUAAUGAUUCACUUCAUGUGCUUUCUGUCAUUGAUGAUCGUUCUUUGCUUCUGUAUGGAGUAUUGAGGAAGGGAAUAUGAUCAGAGUGGU
This is a small nucleolar RNA of Etheostoma cragini (Arkansas darter), 216 nucleotides long. RefSeq annotates it as small nucleolar RNA U3. NCBI's taxonomy places the organism in Eukaryota, Metazoa, Chordata, Actinopteri, Perciformes, Percidae. The record is from RefSeq and is a predicted model, not a curated record. The transcript has a single exon.